CCUACGGGUGGCAGCAGUGGGGAAUAUUGGACAAUGGGCGAAAGCCUGAUCCAGCAAUGCCGCGUGAGUGAAGAAGGCCUUCGGGUUGUAAAGCUCUUUUACCCGGGAAGAUAAUGACUGUACCGGGAGAAUAAGCCCCGGCUAACUCCGUGCCAGCAGCCGCGGUAAUACGGAGGGGGCUAGCGUUGUUCGGAAUUACUGGGCGUAAAGCGCGCGUAGGCGGCUUUGCAAGUUAGAGGUGAAAGCCCGGGGCUCAACCCCGGAAUAGCCUUUAAGACUGCAUCGCUUGAACACGGGAGAGGUGAGUGGAAUUCCGAGUGUAGAGGUGAAAUUCGUAGAUAUUCGGAAGAACACCAGUGGCGAAGGCGGCUCACUGGACCGUUGUUGACGCUGAGGUGCGAAAGCGUGGGGAGCAAACAGGAUUAGAUACCCCAGUAGUC
Molecule: ribosomal RNA, 440 nt
Filed under: uncultured Sphingomonadaceae bacterium
Lineage: Bacteria; Pseudomonadati; Pseudomonadota; Alphaproteobacteria; Sphingomonadales; Sphingomonadaceae
Description: bacterial SSU rRNA
Rfam family: Bacterial small subunit ribosomal RNA
Source: RNAcentral